AUAAAGAUUUAUUUCAUUAACACUAUAAUGGAAUGUUUUAUAAACUCUCACUGACAUUACAAAAUAAAUAUAAAAUUACAAAACUCCUUAAUUAUAAUAACUUAACUAAUAUUGUGGCGGGAUAUGUUCCUAUUGCAUAGCCCUGUUAAGAGUAACUAGUAUUAUUUAUUGUACGAGAGUAUUUCACUUUAGUUCUAUAAAAUACGCACGAAA
Long non-coding RNA from Maniola jurtina (meadow brown), 213 nucleotides. RefSeq lists it as uncharacterized. The transcript has 2 exons. Lineage: Eukaryota; Metazoa; Arthropoda; Insecta; Lepidoptera; Nymphalidae. The record is from RefSeq and is a predicted model, not a curated record.